Molecule: transfer RNA, 72 nt
Filed under: Ipomoea nil (Japanese morning glory)
Lineage: Eukaryota; Viridiplantae; Streptophyta; Magnoliopsida; Solanales; Convolvulaceae
Rfam family: tRNA
About the family: Transfer RNA (tRNA) molecules are approximately 80 nucleotides in length. Their secondary structure includes four short double-helical elements and three loops (D, anti-codon, and T loops).
Source: Rfam by way of RNAcentral
GUCGUUGUAGUAUAGUGUGAGUAUCCCCCGCCUGUCACGCGGGAGACCCGGGUUCGAUCCCCGGCAACGGCG